CGCCUGUUUAUCAAAAACAUCGCCUCUUGCUAAACCAAAAGUAUAAGAGGUCCCGCCUGCCCUGUGACUAUAUGUUUAACGGCCGCGGUAUUUUGACCGUGCGAAGGUAGCGCAAUCACUUGUCUUUUAAAUGGGGACCUGUAUGAAUGGCAUAACGAGGGCUUAACUGUCUCCUUUUUCAAGUCAGUGAAAUUGAUCUCCCCGUGCAGAAGCGGGGAUAGACACAUAAGACGAGAAGACCCUGUGGAGCUUCAGACACUAAAGCAGAUCAGUAUUAAUACCCUGAACAUAAGGCACGAAUAAGAUGAUUCCUGCCCUAAUGUCUUCGGUUGGGGCGACCGCGGAGAAAUAUAUAACCCCCGCAAGGACUGAAUGUACUACAUUCACAACCAAGAGUGACAACUCUAAUUAACAGAACUUCUGACCAAUAAGAUCCGGCAAUGCCGAUUAAUGAACCAAGUUACCCCAGGGAUAACAGCGCAAUCUCCUCUUAGAGUCCAUAUCGACGAGGAGGUUUACGACCUCGAUGUUGGAUCAGGACAUCCUAAUGGUGCAACCGCUAUUAAGGGUUCGUUUGUUCAACGAUUAAAGUCCUACGUGAUCUGAGUUCAGACCGG
Molecule: ribosomal RNA, 617 nt
Filed under: Epinephelus itajara (Atlantic goliath grouper)
Lineage: Eukaryota; Metazoa; Chordata; Actinopteri; Perciformes; Serranidae
Description: partial 16S ribosomal RNA
Rfam family: Bacterial large subunit ribosomal RNA
Source: RNAcentral